AGCGUACACGGUGGAUGCCCUGGCAGUCAGAGGCGAUGAAGGGCGUGCUAAUCUGCGAUAAGCGCCGGUAAGGUGAUAUGAACCGUUAUAACCGGCGAUACCCGAAUGGGGAAACCCAGUGUGAUUCGUCACACUAUCAUUAACUGAAUCCAUAGGUUAAUGAGGCGAACCGGGGGAACUGAAACAUCUAAGUACCCCGAGGAAAAGAAAUCAACCGAGAUUCCCCCAGUAGCGGCGAGCGAACGGGGAGGAGCCCAGAGCCUGAAUCAGCAUGUGUGUUAGUGGAAGCGUCUGGAAAGGCGCGCGAUACAGGGUGACAGCCCCGUACACAAAAGCGCAUGUGCUGUGAGCUCGAUGAGUAGGGCGGGACACGUGGUAUCCUGUCUGAAUAUGGGGGGACCAUCCUCCAAGGCUAAAUACUCCUGACUGACCGAUAGUGAACCAGUACCGUGAGGGAAAGGCGAAAAGAACCCCGGCGAGGGGAGUGAAAAAGAACCUGAAACCGUGUACGUACAAGCAGUGGGAGCACCCUUUGGGGUGUGACUGCGUACCUUUUGUAUAAUGGGUCAGCGACUUAUAUUCUGUAGCAAGGUUAACCGUAUAGGGGAGCCGAAGGGAAACCGAGUCUUAACCGGGCGUUAAGUUGCAGGGUAUAGACCCGAAACCCGGUGAUCUAGCCAUGGGCAGGUUGAAGGUUGGGUAACACUAACUGGAGGACCGAACCGACUAAUGUUGAAAAAUUAGCGGAUGACCUGUGGCUGGGGGUGAAAGGCCAAUCAAACCGGGAGAUAGCUGGUUCUCCCCGAAAGCUAUUUAGGUAGCGCCUCGUGAAUUCAUCUCCGGGGGUAGAGCACUGUUUCGGCUAGGGGGCCAUCCCGGCUUACCAACCCGAUGCAAACUGCGAAUACCGGAGAAUGUUAUCACGGGAGACACACGGCGGGUGCUAACGUCCGUCGUGAAGAGGGAAACAACCCAGACCGCCAGCUAAGGUCCCAAAGUCAUGGUUAAGUGGGAAACGAUGUGGGAAGGCCCAGACAGCCAGGAUGUUGGCUUAGAAGCAGCCAUCAUUUAAAGAAAGCGUAAUAGCUCACUGGUCGAGUCGGCCUGCGCGGAAGAUGUAACGGGGCUAAACCAUGCACCGAAGCUGCGGCAGCGACACUAUGUGUUGUUGGGUAGGGGAGCGUUCUGUAAGCCUGUGAAGGUGUGUCGUGAGGCAUGCUGGAGGUAUCAGAAGUGCGAAUGCUGACAUAAGUAACGAUAAAGCGGGUGAAAAGCCCGCUCGCCGGAAGACCAAGGGUUCCUGUCCAACGUUAAUCGGGGCAGGGUGAGUCGACCCCUAAGGCGAGGCCGAAAGGCGUAGUCGAUGGGAAACGGGUUAAUAUUCCCGUACUUGGUGUUACUGCGAAGGGGGGACGGAGAAGGCUAUGUUGGCCGGGCGACGGUUGUCCCGGUUUAAGCGUGUAGGUGUGUGUUCCAGGUAAAUCCGGUUCACUUUAACACUGAGGCGUGACGACGAGGCACUACGGUGCUGAAGCAACAAAUGCCCUGCUUCCAGGAAAAGCCUCUAAGCAUCAGGUAACAUCAAAUCGUACCCCAAACCGACACAGGUGGUCAGGUAGAGAAUACCAAGGCGCUUGAGAGAACUCGGGUGAAGGAACUAGGCAAAAUGGUGCCGUAACUUCGGGAGAAGGCACGCUGACACGUAGGUGAAGUGAUUUACUCAUGGAGCUGAAGUCAGUCGAAGAUACCAGCUGGCUGCAACUGUUUAUUAAAAACACAGCACUGUGCAAACACGAAAGUGGACGUAUACGGUGUGACGCCUGCCCGGUGCCGGAAGGUUAAUUGAUGGGGUCAGCGCAAGCGAAGCUCCUGAUCGAAGCCCCGGUAAACGGCGGCCGUAACUAUAACGGUCCUAAGGUAGCGAAAUUCCUUGUCGGGUAAGUUCCGACCUGCACGAAUGGCGUAAUGAUGGCCAGGCUGUCUCCACCCGAGACUCAGUGAAAUUGAACUCGCUGUGAAGAUGCAGUGUACCCGCGGCAAGACGGAAAGACCCCGUGAACCUUUACUAUAGCUUGACACUGAACAUUGAGCCUUGAUGUGUAGGAUAGGUGGGAGGCUUUGAAGUGUGGACGCCAGUCUGCAUGGAGCCGACCUUGAAAUACCACCCUUUAAUGUUUGAUGUUCUAACGUGGACCCGUGAUCCGGGUUGCGGACAGUGUCUGGUGGGUAGUUUGACUGGGGCGGUCUCCUCCUAAAGAGUAACGGAGGAGCACGAAGGUUGGCUAAUCCUGGUCGGACAUCAGGAGGUUAGUGCAAUGGCAUAAGCCAGCUUGACUGCGAGCGUGACGGCGCGAGCAGGUGCGAAAGCAGGUCAUAGUGAUCCGGUGGUUCUGAAUGGAAGGGCCAUCGCUCAACGGAUAAAAGGUACUCCGGGGAUAACAGGCUGAUACCGCCCAAGAGUUCAUAUCGACGGCGGUGUUUGGCACCUCGAUGUCGGCUCAUCACAUCCUGGGGCUGAAGUAGGUCCCAAGGGUAUGGCUGUUCGCCAUUUAAAGUGGUACGCGAGCUGGGUUUAGAACGUCGUGAGACAGUUCGGUCCCUAUCUGCCGUGGGCGCUGGAGAACUGAGGGGGGCUGCUCCUAGUACGAGAGGACCGGAGUGGACGCAUCACUGGUGUUCGGGUUGUCAUGCCAAUGGCACUGCCCGGUAGCUAAAUGCGGAAGAGAUAAGUGCUGAAAGCAUCUAAGCACGAAACUUGCCCCGAGAUGAGUUCU
RNAcentral lists this ribosomal RNA (2774 nucleotides) under Salmonella enterica subsp. enterica serovar Anatum. RNAcentral describes it as "bacterial LSU rRNA". It matches the Rfam family "Bacterial large subunit ribosomal RNA". Lineage: Bacteria; Pseudomonadati; Pseudomonadota; Gammaproteobacteria; Enterobacterales; Enterobacteriaceae. The record is from RNAcentral.